GAUGAACGCUAGCGGCAGGCUUAAUACAUGCAAGUCGAGGGGCAACAGGGGUAGCAAUACCUGCUGGCGACCGGCAAACGGGUGCGGAACACGUACAGAACCUUCCUUUAAGCGGGGGAUAGCCCGGAGAAAUCCGGAUUAAUACCCCAUAGUAUUACUGACUGGCAUCAGUUGGUAAUUAAAGAUUUAUCACUUAAAGAUGGCUGUGCGGCUGAUUAGGUAGUUGGUGUGGGUAACGGCCCACCAAGCCAGCGAUCAGUAACUGGUGUGAGAGCACGACCAGUCACACGGGCACUGAGACACGGGCCCGACUCCUACGGGAGGCAGCAGUAAGGAAUAUUGGUCAAUGGACGCAAGUCUGAACCAGCCAUGCCGCGUGAAGGAUGAAGGUCCUCUGGAUUUGUAAACUUCUUUUAUGUGGGAAGAAAUGCCCGCUUUAUAGUGGGUUUGACGGUACCAUAGGAAUAAGCACCGGCUAACUCCGUGCCAGCAGCCGCCGCAGUAA
This 505-nucleotide ribosomal RNA is filed under the name uncultured bacterium. Its description in RNAcentral is "bacterial SSU rRNA". It matches the Rfam family "Bacterial small subunit ribosomal RNA", at positions 28 to 523 of the family's 1533-position model. The record is from RNAcentral.